This 2795-nucleotide long non-coding RNA is filed under the name Hordeum vulgare. Its description in RNAcentral is "long non-coding RNA (HVUL_LNC003528)". The record is from RNAcentral. Lineage: Eukaryota; Viridiplantae; Streptophyta; Magnoliopsida; Poales; Poaceae.
UCUAGGUAGGUGACCGCCGCCGGCGCGCUAUAAGUGAUCAUUUGUUGAGGUGCUGAUGCGUGAAGAAGGAUCGGUCAGUCAGGGGCUUAAUGUUGCUCUGAUGUGUUGUGUGGCAGGUAUUGUUGGAUUCUACAAGGACUUUGUCGAAGCCCUCUACAAAGACCUCGGUGGACAGGCAUCUGUUACUGGUAAGCUUGCUUGAUUGAAGCGUAUUUUUGUCGAUGUAUUGUCGUUGCUGCUUGCUGAUGAACAUUGUGCCUUGUGCAUUGUUCAGCGAUAGGGCAUAUUUCACAUGGGCAGAAGGUAAUGCACAUAUUUCUUCAGGUUGAUUCAUAUCGUCAUAUUGAAAUCGACAAGGGAUGGUUACAUCAAUCAUAUAUAUUUAUGGAAGACAGUUCACUGAUAACUAGCUCGGAUCAUACCUCCAGAACGGUAUGGCCUGAUUCCUCUCUCUCGCCUAGCUCGGAUCUUUUCCUUGUCUUCUUUGAGUUGGAUUCCCGAUUCCCGAUCCCGUCCAUGCGAAUUGCGAUCUCGAUUGGCCAAUUAGAGAUUUAGUUAGGGAUAAUAAGACUGCACCGUGCUCAGCUCUUCCUUCUCGAGUUGGGAUCUCAGGAGGGAAGCUCUUAACCUAGACCUGCUCUCUGGGAAUCGUUGGGAACAGGUUUGAUGAGCAACCAAACGGGCAGUGUUAAUCUACGCAGUGCUGGUAAGUUCGUUAUAAUUCCCACAACCCACAUGUCAUCGCAAAUCUGUAGCAUCAGCCUGACCCCCCUGGACUAUAAUCCUCAUUCCUCCACUCCCACCUUACGUUUUCAGCUAUGUGUCAUGUGUUCCAAAUGGCGGGCAAAAAGUUAACAUGAAGCAUACUACUUGGUACUGUAUGAAAUAAGAGCGGAUUUCUUUUAGAUACAACCUGAAGUUUUAGUUAAGAGGCCAAACUGAAAAUAUAAAGCACUAUAUAUACGAACUAUGUGGCCAUUAUAGCUACAUUAUAUCAGGGUUGAUGACAAAAAAAUUCAGGGUUGGAUAUUCUGGAACUAUGUUUUCAUCAACUAUCUAGCACUAUAAGGACUAUGUGAAUUUUCAAUUUUGCCAUAUUCUGGAAGAUUCUAGCUAUAAUGUGCUAAAUAACGCAUGAUAAAUAAAACAUUAUACAAUGGAAAGCCACAUAAUCCAGAAAUGCAAACUAUGUGGCCAUGCAAGAUUCUGUUUGUCUUGAAUUAUGUGGAUAGGAUAAUAUAUGUAGGUCCGGUCUCUCUUCUGUCUCUCUUCUGCUUCCACAUAAACCUCCGUGUGGUUCGAUUGCAGCCUGUAGGUCCGGUCUCUCUUCUGUCCAGAGUUGAUUAGCACAUAGUACAGGGUAGCUAGUAUGGAUAGGAUAUAUAUGUAGCUGCAGAUCAGAGAGGAGCUUCUUCAUUUACCUUGUACAGUAGUACUAGGUAGUUGGUCUGAUUGCUAGCUAGUUGGUCUGAUUGCUAGCUAGCUGGACUGGAUUAUAUUAUGUACUCCCUCUGUAAACUAAUACUCCCUCCGUUCCUAAAUAUAAGUCUUUUAAGAUAUUUCACUAGGAGUCUACAUACGGAGCAAAAUGAGUGAAUCCAUACUUUUAAGUAUGUCUAUAUACAUCCGUAUGUAGUCCACUAAUGAAACCUCUUUAAAGACUUAUAUUUAGGAACGGAGGGAGUAUAAGAGUGUUUAGAUUACUAAAAUAAUGUUCUAAAUUCUCUUAUAUUAGUUUACGGAGGAAGUACGUAGCUUAAUUAGCUUGUGCAGUUAAUUUGUUGCACGCAUACAUGCAUGCAUGCAUCAUGUUUGUUGGUGGAGAACUGAAAUCGCAUUGCAUAAUAUGCAUCGUUAAUUGACUUUGAUAGUUAAUUUGUUGCUACUCCGUGGUAGAAUAGUUCGCACUGCGCAGUGUAGGAUUCUGCUAGAGGCGAGAUGAUUGACUCCGCAUACACAUGCAUUUGUUAUGCGCACACAACUUCCUCUCACAAAAAAAACUAAGUGCAUGUCUCUCUCACUUUUGUUCGCAUUUCUUUUACCAUCAUCUUUAGGAUGAACACAAAUCUUUUUAUUUCUAAUAUUUUUUAUAUUUAUUUCCUUUUGAUUGAUUCAUGUGCAGUGUAAUGUUUUCGUAGGAUGACAAGUUGUCGCAUCUCGAGCAUGUCUCAUAGGAGAGUGGAAUGAAGUUCAUUGUACUGUUGGGAUAGUAGCAAACGUGCCAUUGUUCUAUUGUGCAAUUCUGUCCGUUCUCGCUAUAUUCCUGUAUAAAGAAAUGUAUUCAUGAGAUAAGUUAUUGUGUUAUAUAAACCUGAGAGAUGUAUUACGUGAUGUUAUAUGAUGGAUGAUUUUAAUUUGACUUGGAGUUUUUUUAAUUUGAAUAUGAAAUAGUGUUGGAUUUAAUAUUGGACAAAUAAUUGGGUUGAAAAGGCUCAACAAAUAGAAAUAAAACCAAGUUCUGAAACAAAAAGUUGUUGAAUUCAAAAAUGAAAAAAGGCCAAAACUGAAACUGGACCAAAUAUAUUUGGGCACUAAAAGGCUAGGAUCCAAAAAAAUAUUCGAAAAAGAAAACAAAAAGUGGCUAUAAAUGGGCUAAGGCUAAAAAAGAAGUCCAAUAAGAAAAAGCCCCCCAAAAAAAUAAAACCAGCCCAUGUGAUCAAUUGAAAUGGGUUGGGCUGAUUUUAACCAUGAAGUUUUGAUUUCGUCGCAAUUUUGCCAUGUAGGACUGCCACGUAGGACUGGGUUAGAUUGCCAACGACGAUUUAGGAUCGUCAUAAAGGUUACGAUGAUUCAGG